This 1311-nucleotide long non-coding RNA is filed under the name Homo sapiens (human). RNAcentral describes it as "HSALNT0007492". Lineage: Eukaryota; Metazoa; Chordata; Mammalia; Primates; Hominidae. The record is from RNAcentral.
GAAAUCUACAGAGCACAAAAGAAGGAAGAGUGUAAAGCCCUUACAGGAGAAGCUGACUGCCCCUAGAUGAAGAGACCAGAAUGAGAAGGAGGCCAUUUAUGGUUUGCAAUUCAGAACAAGGACACCAUGAAAAGAAGAUGAUGGGCAGGAUUCUGAAAUGAAACCAUGACACACACUUGUAAGGUGAAACUGCAGUCACUUUUCAAAUCCAGAUGAACCACAAAAACCAAGCAGAACUGUACACAUCACAGGCAACUUCUCCUGAAAGAAACUGAGUUGGGCCCACCCAAAUGAGCAAGCACAAACAGAAACGUGUUGUCUUCCCAGAAAAGUGAAAAGAUCAAACAUUCCCUGGGCAGCCAGGACCCAGACCACACCCAGUUUACCAGCAGAACAUCUUUGACCUCUCUCGUUUAUUCAAGACCCAUCAGCGAGAGACUAAACUGUGCAAUGGAAAAAUGUCCCAGUCACGAGACUUGGCUCAGAUCCUUCCUGGACUCAUUUCUAACUAUGUGACCCUAAGCCUCAGCUUCCUGAUCAGGUGAAUGGGGACAAGAGUAAUUAUUUUGUAGGCUUGCUGGGGGAAUUACAAGGAAUUUAUAAUAUGAUGAUCAAUAAAUGACAGCUUAUAUUAAUAAAAAUAACAGAAAUGGAGAAAAAGAGGAAGCAAAAACAGAAAAUAUUACUCCCAAAUACUUCCUCCAAAACUUACUUUGAGGAAUUGAUGUGAAUUUUUUUAUUACAAACAUUUUAAGCAAACAAAAUAUGGAGAGUGUACCCAUUCCCUAGCUCUUGAUUUCUAGUAUUUUGAAAUACUUAAAACACAUUUUUAAAGAAAUGAAACACCGAAGAUACAGUUGUGUAGCCCUUGUCUAUUCUGUUCUCCACACCUCUACACUCUGGACACUGUCCAACUUCCUUUUUUAUGUUCUGUUUCUUGGGGCUUCCUUCCUCCAGCCUGAACUAACAAUCACCACAACCAACUUCUCUCUCUGCAUUAUCUGUAUUCUGGCUGAAGAGUUACCUGCUUCUUCUAGGACUGCAAGCUUCUGCUGAGGAGAAAAGGAAACUCUGGCCCUCCAGCACUGCCCACUGUCUCAAAAGGAGCUCCUUAAAAGAGGCUGAAGCUGAUGGUGGUCAGGCUAGAAAGAAGAGUGCGGACCCCUCCCUGCAUAGUGCUGGGCAUUAGGGUCUUCAGCUGUGGGCUCACAGCUGUGUCCUAGAAAAUAAAUUAUUUUGACAAAUGGGAUCUAAUUAAACUAAAGAGCUUCUGCACAGCAAAAGAAACUACCAUCAGAGUGAACAGGCAAC